UACGGAGGUCCCAAGCGUUGUUCGGAAUUACUGGGCGUAAAGGGAGCGCAGGCGGAUGGGUCAGUUUGAAGUGGAAGCCCGGGGCUCAACCUCGGAAUUGCUUUGAAUACUGCCUGUCUUGAGUCCGUGAGAGGAAAGUGGAAUUCAGGGUGUAGCGGUGAAAUGCUUAGAUAUCCUGAGGAACACCAGUGGCGAAAGCGACUUUCUGGCACGUGACUGACGCUGAGGCUCGAAAGCGUGGGUAGCGAACGGG
This 253-nucleotide ribosomal RNA is filed under the name uncultured bacterium. Its description in RNAcentral is "partial 16S ribosomal RNA". It matches the Rfam family "Bacterial small subunit ribosomal RNA", at positions 524 to 776 of the family's 1533-position model. The record is from RNAcentral.